This 468-nucleotide ribosomal RNA is filed under the name uncultured bacterium. RNAcentral describes it as "partial 16S ribosomal RNA". It matches the Rfam family "Bacterial small subunit ribosomal RNA", at positions 28 to 507 of the family's 1533-position model. The record is from RNAcentral.
GACGAACGCUGGCGGCGUGCUUAACACAUGCAAGUCGAACGGAAAGGCCCUGCUUUUGUGGGGUGCUCGAGUGGCGAACGGGUGAGUAACACGUGAGUAACCUGCCCUUGACUUUGGGAUAACUUCAGGAAACUGGGGCUAAUACCGGAUAGGAGCUCCUGCUGCAUGGUGGGGGUUGGAAAGUUUCGGCGGUUGGGGAUGGACUCGCGGCUUAUCAGCUUGUUGGUGGGGUAGUGGCUUACCAAGGCUUUGACGGGUAGCCGGCCUGAGAGGGUGACCGGCCACCUUGGGACUGAGCUACGGCCCAGACUCCUACGGGAGGCAGCAGUGGGGAAUAUUGCCCGAUGGGCCGAAGCCUGAUGCAGCAACGCCGCGUGCGGGAUGACGGCCUUCGGUUUGUAGACCGCUUUCGCCUGUGACGAAGCGUGAUUGACGGUAAUGGGUAAAGAAGCACCGGCUAACUACGUG